CAGACUGCGUGCUGUCAUGGUUCCUCAUGCGCUUUCGGCGUGUGGGGCUAAGAGGGAAGCCGGUGCGUCCUUGAUAAGGACAAGGCCGGCGCUGCCCCCGCAACUGUAAGCGGCGAGCCGAUAUUCACCUGUGUCACUGGAACGGGCGUUCCGGGAAGACGAAUGGAGGCGACGACCCGCGAGCCAGGAGACCUGCCAGGACGAAACAACGUCC
This 214-nucleotide non-coding RNA is filed under the name Hyphomicrobiales bacterium. The record is from RNAcentral. Lineage: Bacteria; Pseudomonadati; Pseudomonadota; Alphaproteobacteria; Hyphomicrobiales.